This 24-nucleotide non-coding RNA is filed under the name Arabidopsis thaliana (thale cress). The record is from RNAcentral. Lineage: Eukaryota; Viridiplantae; Streptophyta; Magnoliopsida; Brassicales; Brassicaceae.
ACAGACUCAUCACGCGUGUGCCAC